Thunnus maccoyii (southern bluefin tuna) is the source of this 769-nucleotide long non-coding RNA. RefSeq lists it as uncharacterized. The record is from RefSeq and is a predicted model, not a curated record. Lineage: Eukaryota; Metazoa; Chordata; Actinopteri; Scombriformes; Scombridae. The transcript is spliced from 3 exons.
CUCCACAAACACAAAGCUAAAUCUGCUAAUCUGCUGUUAAAUCUAGAUAAAACUGAAUUUACUGGGUGGAUGUGGUUACUGCAAUCUUUGCAAGGCAGGUCCAUCCGCUGAAGAACAGAAGAGAGCAUAUAAUCCAUACGCACAGAAUCUCUGAUGAAAAGUGAAGUUUCCUUUGAGGUGGGAUCUGUCUGGUGCUGCUGUGAGUCGGGCUGUAGACACUCAGCUGUGUUUGAUCUACUGUACAACUUGAAGGGCAUUUCUUUGCAUUCCUCGUACUUGUCUGGCUUGUUCCCAUGAGAAAGUCUCAGCCUACGCUCCUGACACCAAAAAACGGCCUCAGAAGAAAUGAUAAUGCUCAGGCCAGCAUCAGAGGCUCUGUUUGUGUGUGUGUGUGUGUGUGUGUGUGUGUGUGUGUGUGUGUGUGUGUGUGUGUGUAUGUGUGUGCGUGUUCGGGUGGGUAAGUGUGGGAGCAGAGUAAAUCAUGGUGUUUCAAUCCAGUAUUGUCCUGUUAACAGUGAUGUUCCCUGUGAUACUGUGGGAUAGUUUCAGUUUGUGUGAUGCUGAGUAAGAAGAGGAAAACAUAACAGUCUCUGUCUGAUCUUGUCUGUUUAUUUCUAUUUUGGGGGGAAUUUGAGCUUUAGACCUUGAAUGUUUGGACAUUUUUCCUGUUGCUGACCUCCUCAAGGGGAUGUUUUGAGAGCUAAAGGACAGGUUUACAAUUUUUCAAGUCAGUCUGAAAACAACAGUCAGAUGCCCAUGUAAACACUGA